Molecule: ribosomal RNA, 383 nt
Filed under: uncultured eukaryote
Lineage: Eukaryota
Description: partial 18S ribosomal RNA
Rfam family: Eukaryotic small subunit ribosomal RNA
Source: RNAcentral
UGUAAGCGUAUACCAAAGUUGUUGCAGUUAAAAAGCUCGUAGUUGGAUUUCUGGUGGGAGCGAUCGGUCUGGCGCUUAGCGCGAGUACUUGCAUCGUCUCCGGCCAUCCUUGGGGAGAGUCUGUCUGGCAUUAGGUUGUCGGGCAGAGGAUCCUCAUCGUUUACUGUGAAAAAAUUAGAGUGUUCAAAGCAGGCUUAUGCCGUUGAAUAUAUUAGCAUGGAAUAAUAAGAUAGGACUUUGGUACUAUUUUGUUGGUUUGCGCACCAAAGUAAUGAUUAAUAGGGACAGUUGGGGGUAUUCGUAUUCCGUUGUCAGAGGUGAAAUUCUUGGAUUUACGGAAGACGAACUACUGCGAAAGCAUUUGCCAAGGAUGUUUUCAUUAA